This 520-nucleotide ribosomal RNA is filed under the name uncultured bacterium. RNAcentral's name for it is "bacterial SSU rRNA". It matches the Rfam family "Bacterial small subunit ribosomal RNA", at positions 48 to 562 of the family's 1533-position model. The record is from RNAcentral.
CUUAUCAUGCAGUCACCUUGAUCUUACAGAUAGCAAUAUUGUAAGGAGAGUGGCGCACGGGUGAGUAACACGGUAGGUAAUCUACCUUCAAGACUGACAUAAUUCAGCGAAAGCUGGACUAAUAUCAGAUAAAGCAGUGAUCUGGCAUCAGGUUACUGUCAAAACUUCGGUGCUUGAAGAUGAGCCUGCGGUCCAUUAGACAGUUGGCGGGGUAACGGCCCACCAAAUCAACGAUGGAUAGCUGGUCUGAGAGGAUGAUCAGCCACACUGGAACUGAGACACGGUCCAGACUCCUACGGGAGGCAGCAGUAAGGAAUAUUGCUCAAUGGCCGCAAGGCUGAAGCAGCAACGCCGCGUGAAGGAUGAAGGGAUUUUUCUUGUAAACUUCUGUAAGAGGGGAAAAAUGUACUUGAUUUAUCGAGUAUUGGAUUGUACCUUCGGAGUAAGCCCCGGCUAACUACGUGCCGGCGUCCGCGGUAAUACAUAGGGGGCAAGCGUUGUCCGGGAUUUACUGGGUGAU